GUAGAUAGGAAGGAGAAAGACAAGGUUGUGGACGCUGUGCAGCUACCUUGCUAACUCCGGAAAUACUCUGAAGGUAGAAACAGCUCUCACUUGGAUGCUCUGGCACCUGGAUCUGCACACAAGAUGCAGGGAGUAACGUGAGUAUGCCAACUCAGUAAGUAACAAUUAUAAAUAAAGCCUGAGUGCAGUGACGAGCAUUUAAAAUCAUAUACAAUUCAUAACAUAGAAUCUCAAAAGAAAUAACAAAUUCGAAUCACUAAUUCGAUUUUCGAACAUCUCGUAAAAACUCCCGUUUCAGUGAGAAAUCAUUUCAACAUUUGUUCAACAUUUUUCAAUAGAGGCUUAGUAUAAAAGAAGAGUGAAAUAGUAAUUUCAUAAAACAAGCCUCUUGGGCGAAGUAUCACUCAUAUAUAUAUAGCCCUUGGGCAAGCGUCUCAGUCACUCGUAACUCAACUCUUAUCAAUCAACGCUCACACUCAGCACUCCCGCUCAAUAGAUAUCUCAUAAGAAUAACCGUUGCACGUGCAGCCCAAUCCAUAAGUAUACAUAGUCGACUGCGCUCACUAGGGGUGUGCAAACUCCGGAGGGGCUCCUACAACCCAAGCGCUAUAUCGCUGCGGCGUGUAGCCCGAUCCAUAAAUAUAUAAUCCUCACCAUCAGGCCCUCGACCUCUUUCAGUCAUCAACCUCACAGCCACUCGGGCAUUUCAAUGAAAAAUCAGGGAACUCAGCCCAAACAAUUUCAUAUAUUUGAAAGUAGAGUAAUGAAACUACAUCAAACCAUAAACAGGUAAAAAUCAUGAUUGAGGAUCUGCUUUCGAAUCAAAACAGUGUGAGGAUAGUAGUAAAAUUCCCCUGAGGGUCCAAACAUUAUGGCACAAGGCCCCAAACAUGGCAUACAGCUCAAGUUAACAGAUUCAUUUCUAAAAUACAUAGAUAUAGAGUUUAUCAAAAUAUGCAACUCUACAGUUGCCACGGGACAGACCAACUCACAGUCCCUGCAGGUGCACGCCAACACGCCCGUCAACUAGCAUGUGUGUCACCUUAUUUAUCAAAUAGUACGAAAUUCCGGGGUUUCAUACCCUCAGGUCCAGAUUUACAAUCGUUACUUACCUCCAACCGGGCGAAAAUCUACUCCGCGAUGCCCUUGCCUCUCGAUCCGACCUCCAAAUGCUCCGAAUCUAACCAAAAUUAGUAUAUUAUCAUCAAUACACGGUAAAGGAACAAAACCCGUGCGAAAAUUAUCAAAUUAACUCAAAAAUCCUGAAAUUAGUCAAACCCGACCCCCGAUCCCACGUCUCGGAAUUCGAUAAAAAUCAUUAAACUAGAUACUCCUUUCACUCCCGAGUCUAUACAUACCAAAAAUAUCGAAAUCGAACCUCAAAUGGUCCCUCAAAUUCCCAAUUUAAACUUUCCAAUUUCAAGCCCUAAUUUUCCUAUUUUUCACCCCUAAUCUUUGCAAUUUCCACGUUUAAUCAACUGAAAUUCACCAUAGAUACGAGUAUUAAGUUCAAAAAUCUUACCUCAACAAGUUUCUCCUUGAAUUCCUCUUCAAAACCCUCCAAAAUCUUCAAUCCCGACUCUAAAAUGGUGGAAAUUGACAAAAAUUUGCGAAUAGUUUAAUUUAUACCUUCUGCCUAGGCAUUUCCGCACCUUCGGCCCAUAUCAUGCAUCUGUGGAUCGCAUCUGCGGUCAAAAUAACUGCAUCUACGGUUUUUUCACUUAACUCCUCAGGGCCGCAUCUGCGCCCAGGCACUGCACCUGCGAUCCCACAUAUGCGCCCAACACACCGCACCUGCGGUCUUCACCUGAUGGCCAAAUUUCGCACCUGCGGUCUCCCUCAUGAACCUGCGAUCUCGCACCUACGGUCCCUAAUCUGCAGGUGCGGUUAUGACAGAAGCAGCAGCUUCAGCUGCUCAAAUCAAGUCCAAUCUUUUCGUUAACCAUCCGAAUUCAUCCCGAGUCCCCCGGGACUUAAACAUGCCAACAAGUCACACAUCGCCAUUCAAACUUAUUCAAGCCUUUGGAACACUCAAAACAACAUCAAAACAUCAAAUCACCCUCGUAUUCAAGCAUAAGGAUUUCCAAACUUCCGAAUUUCGCAACCAAUCCAAAAACCUAUCAAACCUCAUCCGAAUGACCUGAAUAUUUGCACACACGUCACAAAUGACACAACGGACCUACUCCAAUUUUUGGAAUUCCAUUUCGACCCCGAUUUCAAGAUUUCCAUUGCCGACCGAAAAACACCAAAUUUCUAAUUUCGUCAAUUCAAGCCUAAAUCUACUACGGACCUCCAAAUUACAUUCUGAAUACACUCCUAAGUCCAAAAUCACCUAACGAAGCUAUUAGAACCAUCAGAAUUCACAUCCGAGGACUUCUACAUAUAAGUCAACAUCUGGUUGAGUUUUCUAACUUAAGCUUCCAAAUAAGAGACUAAGGCCUCAUUUGUUUGCAAUUAAUGGAGGUCUGAAUCUUAAUCAUUCAGAUCUCAGACAUUAAGUGCGUUUGUUUUUAAAGUCUGAAUCUUAAUUAUUCAAAUCUUAAUCAUUAAGUGUGUUUGUUUUUUUACUUCACAACCACUUAAUGGGUCUAAUAGGUCUGUAUGAUUAAGAUCUAUAACAGAGACUUAAUUUUAUUAAGAUGCUAUCACAUAUUCAUUAUUAACUACCGGCACCGCCUACCAUUAUCAACUACCACCAUGCCGCCACCGCCACCACCGCCACCACCAUACUCAACCACCACCACGCCACCAUCAUCCUCAAUCAUAGCUGCCACUAUUAUCGACCAUCACCAUCCACUAUCCCUACCACUCCGACCACCAUCAUUCUCACCCACAAUCAACACUCAUCCACCUCAACUACCAACUGACCACCCCAUCAUCAUCAACAACCACAGCCGGCACUGUCCAUCAUUAUAAUCUACCACCACCCACCCACCACCUUCCUCAGUCACAACUCACCACCCACCACCACCAUCCUCAAUCAUAAUCUCCACCACUACCGAUCACUACUAGCUACAUGAACCACUAUCAUCAACCAAAACUACCACCCACCACCGCCUCUAGUCGGCAUUCACCCGUUAGCCAUCACCACCAACAACUAUCAUAUUUUAAAAAACUAUAUAUAUUAUUGAUAGAAUAUUAGAUUAGUUAGUAUUUCAUUUGAAUUUAAUGUUUAUUAAUUCUCAAAUAAAGAUAAAUUUUAUACAUUCAGAUGUUAAAAAUCAAACAGUGUUAACUAUUUAGUAUUCAGAUCUUAAUACACAUCUUAAUAUAUUUAGAUGUCUAUUCAGAUUCAGAUGUCUUAAUCUUAAUACACAUCUUGAUAUUCAGAUGUGUAUUAAGACUCAGACGUCUUAAUCUUAAAAAAAUGACGCCUAAGUGUCUCAUUCCACUCUAAGACCACUCCGAACACAACCCAACCAACACGAUACGAUCAAAUACAGCUGAACAACACAAAAAGAAGCAGAAAUAGGGAGAACGUGACUGUAAUUCAUGAAAUGACUGGCUGGAUCGUUACAAUCACCCACCGGAGAGAAGUCCAGAGUUCUUGGAAGAAUUAAUAUAAGAAGCCAUAAUAAGGAGGAGAUAAUAGAGUUUUUUGAAGAAGAAUAAGGAGAGAUGAAAGCAUAAGGAAGUUAAAUGCAAAGAAGUUGAGAGAGUUUAUGAAACUAUUAGAAGUGAAAGAAGAAGAUGAGGGAUAUAAGUAAAAGUAUAGGCGGCUAAAAUCGUGGCCAUGAUUACCUUGAGAACCGGCGAAAAUAUUGCUAAAUCGUGGAGUAACACGUAUUCGGGGUAUUAAAUGCGAGGAUACGUGCGUUUUAUCAAGCGUUAGAAACUUUUCAGAAGUGUUUAAAACAAAUUUCACCAAGAAAGGAAUCUUCACCUACUUUCUGGUGACACAAAGAUGUGCCACCGAAAAGCAGGAGAACUAUCAAUAUAGGUUAAAAAACGAUUUAUAUUAAAUGCUCUUGAGAGCGUGACACGUGGAACCGGAGGCAGACGAAAGAUAGAGUGAGUGUAAAACCAAGAUCGAGGACAACAACUUCAGUUGGUACUGGGUAGAUCCCGAAGGGAACAUAGUAAACGGAAGCAUAUGAACAUUUGUCACCAGAUGACAUUUAAUAAAGAAUAUUCCUCAGUAUUAAAUACACAUCCGUUGCAGAGAAUUUUGGCAUUUAUGGUCUGCCGUUACAUAUUCAUCAAUGACCCUAUUACUGUCAUUUAAGAGGGGCUUGAUGUUAAGACCUUGUUCCCUAGGUAUAGCUAUAAAUAGUCACUUCAACAACCAUUGUAACACACGAAAUCUCUGGCAAACUUAUGCUACACAUUAUUCUCAAGCUAAAUAAUACUUUAUUUUCUGUUUAACAUUGUUCUUAUUUUCACUUAACUCCUCAGGGCCGCAUCUGCGCCCAGGCACUGCACAUGCGGUCCCGCAAUUGCGCCCAACACACUACACCUGCGGUCUUCACCUGAUGGCCAGAUUUUGCAUCUGCAGUCUCCCUCACGAACCUGCGAUCCCAAAUCCGCAGGUGUGGUUAUGACAGAAGCGGCAGCUUCAGCUGCUCAAAUCAAGUCCAAUCUUUUCGUUAACCAUACGAAUUCAUCCCGAGUCCCCCGGGACUUAAACAUACCAACAAGUCACACAUCACCAUUCAAACUUAUUCAAGCCUUUGGAACACUCAAAACAACAUCAAAACAUCAAAUCACCCUCGUAUUCAAGCAUAAGGAUUUCCAAACUUCCGACUUUUGCAACCAAUCCAAAAACCUAUCAAACCUCGACUGAAUGACUUGAAUAUUUGCACACACGUCACAAAUGAUACAACGGACCUACUCCAAUUUCCGAAAUUCCAUUCCGACCCCGAUUUCAAGAUUUCCACUGCCGACCGAAAAACACCAAAUUUCUAAUUUCGCCAAUUCAAGCCUAAAUCUACCACAGAUCUCCAAAUUACAUUCUGAACACACUCCUAAGUCCAAAAUCACCUAACGAAGCUAUCCGAACCAUCAGAAUUCACAUCCGAGAACUUCUACACAUAAGUCAACAUCCGGUUGACUUUUCCAACUUAAGCUUCCAAAUAAGAGACUAAGUGUCUCAUUCCACUCUAAGACCACUCCGAACACAACCCAACCAACACGAUACGAUCAAAUACAGCUGAACAACACAUAAAGAAGCAGAAAUGGGGAGAACGGGACUGUAAUUCAUGAAACAACCGGCCAGAUCGUUACAAUCACCCACCGAAGAGAAGUCCAGAGUUCAUGGAAGAAUUAAUAUAAGAAGCCAUAAUGAGGAGGAGAUGAUAGAGUUUUUUGAAGAAGAACAAGGAGAGAUGAAAGCACAAGGGAGUUAAAUGCAAAGAAGUUGAGAGAGUUUAUGAAACUAUUAGAAGUGAAAUAAGAAGAUGAGGGAUAAAAGUACAAGUAUAGGCGGCUAAAAUCGUAGCCAUGAUUACCUUGAGAACUGGCGAAAAUAUUGCUAAAUCGUGGAGUAAAACGUAUUUGGGGUAUUAAAUGCGAGGAUACGUGCAUCUUAUUAAGCGUCAGAAAUUUUUCAGAAGUGUUUAGAAAAAAUUUCACCAAGAAAGGAAUCUUCACUAACUUCCCGGUGACACAAAGAUGUGCCACCGAAAGCAGGAGGACUAUCAAUAUAGGGUAAAAAUCAAUUUAUAUUAAAUGCUCUUGAGAGCGUGACACGUGGAACCGGAGGCAGACAAAAGAUGGAGCGAGUGUAAAACCAAGAUCGAGGACAAUAGCUUCAGUUGGUACUGGGUAGAUCCCGAAGGGAACAUAGUAAACGGAAGCAAAUGAACAUUUGUCACCAGAUGACAUUUAAUAAAGAAUAUUCCUCAGUAUUAAAUACACAGCCAUUGCAGAGAAUUUUGGCAUUUAUGGUCUGCCGUUACAUAUUCACAAUGACCCCAUUACUGUUAUUUAAGAGGAGCUUGAUACUAAGACCUUGUUCCCUAGGUAUAGCUAUAAACAGCGACUUCAACCACCAUUGUAACACACGAAAUCUCUGGCAAACUUAUGCUACACAUUAUUCUCAAGCUAAAUAAUACUUUAUUUUUUGUCUAACAUUGUUCUUAUUCCUGCCUUCGAAAGCAUUGCUCCUGGAACCAAGCUAUAUGCUAUUUAUCUCGAUUUCAAUGUUAAGUCAUGUAUUCUUAUUUAAUUUGUUUGUCAUUUUGGAUCAAAUCAAUUCGUUUGUCUAUAAAUCAUAUAACAAAUUCAACUGUACCGUUUUACGGGUUAAUAAUUACACUAAUAUUUAAAACAAUAAUUGCAUUGUCGAUAUAUAUAACUUAAAUAAAAAAGAUGAAAUGCAUAAAUGGCGCCUUUAAAUUGUCCACAAAUACCAAAUAUACCCCUAACAAUCUCAUUACCCAACUAGACACCUCUUCUUGGUAGAAAUGGACCUCAUAGAUCCCUCGUGACGACAUGGUAACACGCAUUUAUUUAUACUCCAACUAGGUAAUUCGUCCGCGUGCGAUAAUAAAGAUAUCGUUAAAUUAACUCAUUAACUUUUUAUAAUAGCCAAUAAUAUAAUAUUUCAAACUAAAAUUUUAAAUACCUUUUUAGUCUUCGAAUCUAAUAAAAAGUGUAUCAUUUUUUCUCAGUUUUCUUAUACAAAAACAUGUAAAGAAAGAAAAUGAUCAAGAAAACUUGAUCUCUUUACGUGCAUAUCUGUAUUAAUUUAAAAUACGAUUUGUACUCUGUACAUUUAAUAUGUGUAUGUAAAUUAAUUUUUCUCUUCAAAUAUUAAUGCUUUCAUAAAAUAAGAAGAAAGAAAUAAAAAAAUGCAAAAUCAAAUUAAUCGACCUUGCUCGUUCAGUUUUAAAAUAAAAAGAAAUAUCUACCAACCUUUUACUAUAAAAUAAUUUAUUUUCAUUCUCAAAGUCAUUAAAUUAUACUAAUAUUUCUCAAAUUUAAAAAUAUAUUAAAUUCCUUUAACACUUUCUCCUAUAAAUUCAACAUACAAUUAAAAAAGUGCGAAGAGAAUCCAUAGGAGUUCAGACGGAUAAUAUUUCAAGCUGCAAUCUCCUUGAAAAUUAUCUUUUCGUUCAUUCAUCUGAAUAGUUUAUCACAAUAGACUACGAAAGAAGAAAAAUAACAUAACCAAGAAAAAGAUACAAGACAGAAAAAGAAAAUGCAAAAAAAAAAAAAAAAAAAAAAAAAUAGACAAUAAAUGGGAGAUAAACUUCGUUAUUUAGAUCAACUCUUCUCAAAUUAUUGGUUAGCGAUAAAUUUAUUCAAGAGGCGGAGACCUUACAUGUUCAUGCAAUAUUUCAGACGAUAAAAAUAACACUAUUAUGUUAGAGCUCAAAUAGUAUGAUAUAAAUAUAUAGUAUAAAGUAAUUAAAAAAUUUAUAUUGAGACAUUUACCGACCUAACUUCUUUUCUCCUGUUCGUAAUACUUAUUGUUACCGGAGAAUUGCAAUAUAUCAUUAGAAUACAUGACAUUAGAAAAGAAUGCAGUAAGCCAUCAUUAGAAUAUAUGCGUAUACAUUUGCGUUCUAACAAUGCUAGCGUGUGAACUGUAAUUGAUGAAACUAUAGAACCAAAUGAGCAAUGCCAUUUUGAAGAUUUUUCACACAGCUUAAAUCCAAUUAGAAUUUCGCCUACAGAUUGUUAAGUUUUUUAAGCGAAAAGGUGCAAAUAUACCCCUCAACUUUGUGAUUUAGAGUAGAUAUACCCCCCGUUAUAAGAGUGGUGGAUAUAUAACCUUAAGUGUUAGUAGUGACAGUGGUGAUCUAAAAAAUAAACAUGUAUUAUCCUAAAGAUAUUAUUAUUAGCAUCAAAAGAUAAAAGGCACUUGGUCCUUUUAAAAGACCAAAAUUUCCGAUACGAUUAAAAUUCGAACCACGAGAACACAAAAGAGCUUUGAGAACGUACAUUUACAUUUGAUGGCGGGGAGGGUUCUCAUAUGCAUUAAAAAUACUCAGUGUUUGGCAUUUUUCCAAGCAAUUUCUUUGCCACCAUUUUAAUUUCCUUGAGUCGAGGGUGUAUCAGAAACAACAUCUUUAUCUUCAAGAUAGGGGUAAGGUCUGCAUAUACACUACUUCUCCAGACCCCAUUUGUGAAAUUAUACUAGGUUGGUGAUGGUGGUGGUGGUAGAAACAGGACAGAAAAAAUGGGAGAAACAGAGAGUUCUACAAUUUGAAGGGAAAAUUAUGCAGUGGUUGAAUAUUGAUACAUAUCUCAUUUUCCAGCGUCCAGACAGAUCACACCAUAAAAAGAAAAUGUAUAUACUAACUUAAGCAAAAGGCGGAGAGGAACAAUUAACGUUUCUUAUUGAAUGAACGUAAUGCAAGUACUGAUGAACUUACCUUGAGACAUUGAUAAAAGUAAAGGCAUGGCUAAAAUGAUAGUAGAUGAGUGUUAGUUUAUCUAUCUAACAACUUUAUCAAUUGUAAUUCUAUGAUAUUUAUUAAUUAAUGUUCAUUUAAAGAAUCUGGAGCAGUAAAGAUGCAAUCUUGAAGCUAAAACUACCUUUAGUAUUUCCUGCACGUGCAAUUUGUUGGGCCUUUUGGACCUCUUCCUUUGCACAUUCUAGAGGCAUAUGCAUGAAAACCUAAAAAGUCAUACGAAAAGAAAUAGUUAAAUAAUCUUUUCUUUGAAUCCAAAUACACAAAACUUAUGUCGAUUUUUUUUUUUUUUUUUGCAAUAAUGAACAGCAAACAUCACGAUCCUUUCUUUAAGGAGAUGACAAACUUGCAAUGGAGAAAUUAUCAGAAAAAUCAAAUACAAACAAAACUGAAGUAGAGAAACCCGUGAUAAAUCGAAUUGAAUAGCUGAAAAAUUAGAGAGGAAAGAGGAAAAACCCCCCAAAAAUAAGAACACAUACAUCUAUAAACAAAAGAGCUUGAGAGGAACGAAAGCUAAUACACUGGGUGAGACUCGGAGAUAAGGUUUUAGUCAGGCCCUGAGGCUAGAUUAGACUGCCAUGGAAGGCCUGGUCUUCAGGUUAAGUGAAAGAGAAAAAAGUAAAAGAGAAAAUAAAAGAACAG
Molecule: long non-coding RNA, 9002 nt
Filed under: Nicotiana tabacum (common tobacco)
Lineage: Eukaryota; Viridiplantae; Streptophyta; Magnoliopsida; Solanales; Solanaceae
Description: long non-coding RNA (NTAB_LNC000346)
Source: RNAcentral